This 213-nucleotide ribosomal RNA is filed under the name Bacillus infantis. RNAcentral describes it as "partial 16S ribosomal RNA". It matches the Rfam family "Bacterial small subunit ribosomal RNA", at positions 1 to 209 of the family's 1533-position model. The record is from RNAcentral. Lineage: Bacteria; Bacillati; Bacillota; Bacilli; Caryophanales; Bacillaceae.
UUAUAUGGAGAGUUUGAUCCUGGCUCAGGACGAACGCUGGCGGCGUGCCUAAUACAUGCAAGUCGAGCGGACGGAUGGGAGCUUGCUCCCUGAAGUCAGCGGCGGACGGGUGAGUAACACGUGGGCAACCUGCCUGUAAGACUGGGAUAACUUCGGGAAACCGGAGCUAAUACCGGAUAAUGCAUUUCCCCUCAUGGGGAUAUGCUGAAAGAU